RNAcentral lists this long non-coding RNA (519 nucleotides) under Gallus gallus (chicken). RNAcentral's name for it is "long non-coding RNA NONGGAT011733". Lineage: Eukaryota; Metazoa; Chordata; Aves; Galliformes; Phasianidae. The record is from RNAcentral.
CUGAACCAGAGAGCGGUCGUCCUAGGUAAGGACAGACUGGGGAUGGCAGGUGAAUAUAUGUGAACAACCGCCCUCCUGCAGGUUUGUGAGUAUCUCAGAGGGGAAAAGAGGAUAAACUGAUUUUAAGAAACGCCAGCUGGUACACAGACACACACAACUAAAUGACGAUGCAGUUUCAAAAUGUGUCUUACUAAUCACAGUAUUUCUAAAACCAAAACCUGGUCAUAGUCUGCUUCCCACAGGAUGCUUGGCAGGCAGAGUUCAGCAAGGCCUCAUCUGGGAGAAAAUGCCUCUUUACCUAGGUGGGCCGCAUGGGCUUCCAGCAGGGUGUGGCCACGGCCUGGGCUCACCUCAUCUUUCACCAGGACAAGUCCUGGUGAUGUAUGUGCACUGUGUUGUUCAGCUCUGUGUGAUGGCUCCUGGGUAAUGGCGAUUCAAAACAGCUGACCACGUGGGAGAGGAGGGGAUUGCUAUUAAUGCCUUGCUAAGAACUUGUUUUCACAAGAAUUUUCCUUUUGC